This is a long non-coding RNA of Stomoxys calcitrans (stable fly), 730 nucleotides long. RefSeq lists it as uncharacterized. The transcript has 4 exons. Lineage: Eukaryota; Metazoa; Arthropoda; Insecta; Diptera; Muscidae. The record is from RefSeq and is a predicted model, not a curated record.
UUUAAAAAGGUCGCUUCUCUUGCCAUGUAACAAUUUAUAUUAAACCAUCUCUCAGUUCUGGAGAAAUUGAUGAAGCCUUUUGAGCAAGCCUUAUGGGUGUCUUUUAUUAAUUUUCCUAUAUCAGUAAAGUUCCACUGCAUCCGACUUUACAGACACGCAACAUUUUGCUACAUCACUGGUUGGACACAUGAGAAUUCGAAUGAACUCUGGAAAUGUAUUAGAUAUGGAGGUAGAGCUGGCAAAAUAUCGAUGGCACUAUCGAUAUUUAAAUUUUUGACUGAAUAUCGAUUGGUAUUUUUCCGAUGGAUACUAUCGCAAAAGUUUAAUUUUUUGCAAAACAAAACAAAAACAAGCAAACAAGGAAAAUUAAUAAGAACUGUUAUGCUAUUGGAGCUAUAUCAAGUUAUAGUCCGAUUCGGACCAUUAAUGAAUGCUGAACAUUGUAGAAGUCAUUGUGUAAUAUUUCAGUUCAUUCGGAUAAGAAUUGCGCCUUGUAUGAGCUCAAUUAGCAAAAUCGGGACAUAGGUUUAUAUGGGAGCUGUUUCAAGCUAUUGAUCGAUUCUGACCAUAUUAGACACGUAUGUUGAAGGUAAUGGAAAAUUAACGAAAGUAUCAAUACCAUCGAUAUUAUAUGGAGGUCGCUGGAUUUUCUAUGUUAGUGAUAAUCAUUGACAAAUUUUGCUUAUUUAAAUUAGAUGACGUUCUAAUAAAGGCUUCAUUCGUAUCAAUA